RNAcentral lists this ribosomal RNA (253 nucleotides) under uncultured bacterium. RNAcentral's name for it is "partial 16S ribosomal RNA". It matches the Rfam family "Bacterial small subunit ribosomal RNA", at positions 524 to 776 of the family's 1533-position model. The record is from RNAcentral.
UACAGAGGGUGCAAGCGUUAAUCGGAAUUACUGGGCGUAAAGCGUGCGCAGGCGGUGAUGUAAGACAGAUGUGAAAUCCCCGGGCUCAACCUGGGAACUGCAUUUGUGACUGCAUCGCUGGAGUGCGGCAGAGGGGGAUGGAAUUCCGCGUGUAGCAGUGAAAUGCGUAGAUAUGCGGAGGAACACCGAUGGCGAAGGCAAUCCCCUGGGCCUGCACUGACGCUCGUGCACGAAAGCGUGGGGAGCAAACAGG